Mytilus californianus (California mussel) is the source of this 2621-nucleotide long non-coding RNA. RefSeq lists it as uncharacterized. The transcript has 2 exons. NCBI's taxonomy places the organism in Eukaryota, Metazoa, Mollusca, Bivalvia, Mytilida, Mytilidae. The record is from RefSeq and is a predicted model, not a curated record.
AUAUAGGUGGCGGUCUUAUUUGUUUACAAAUGAACCAUCAUAAAAUAUAUCCUAAAGUUAGGACCAUAUCCUAAGACCAUCUUAGGAAUAGGUGUCCUAAAGCUAUGACGAUUCCUAUGCCUUUUCCUAAUUUGCGACAUGUUUGAUAACCGACUUAGGACUAAAAUAGGCCUAAGAUGAUCUUAGGACAUGUCCUAGUCCUAUAAGCGAUUCGAUAAACAGGCCUCUGGUCUUUAAAAUAGAAAAAGAUAUUUAGCUUUAAUCGAUCACAACUUGCAAUAGAUGUCUUCCUAAUAAUCACUGACCCCUUACUGUGGUAUAUUAAACUUAUGUUUUAUCGAAAAAUUAAUCAUUUAAUUUGUAACUACCUGCUUAAAUCCUAAAUUUAAGGGCGGCGGAAUCAUAAUGCCACCUUUUUGGUCCCAUGGAUUUGGGAGUCAUAAAUUAUUAUAAAUCUAUCGAAUUACAUCUUCCAUAUGUCCAAAAGACAUUAGUCUGUCAGGAUCCAGUAAUAAUGUAUUUGAUGUAUGUCAUAUAUAUUUGAUUUAGGACUUUUCAUUUUUGCAUAGAGGGAAAAACAAGUUUUUUUUAAUAGCCGCAUUUUCAAUUCUUUCAAUAAAUAUUUUGAUAUAAGGAACAGCCUUACCCCAAAAAGAUCUUUGCCACUAAAUAUCACUUGCAAAGAUAUUUAUGGUAGUCUAACAUAUAUAUUUUGUAAAGCUGUUGUUCAUAUCAAAUUUUACCAAACCUUUAUGCAUGAGUACAUGAUGAUUUUGGGGCCAAUUAUGGCAUGUUCAUAGAUCAUUCUGAAAUAAAUUCAUUUCAGGUUUAUUUUCUGUAUUAUAUUGACCAACAUGUAUCAAUAAAAUUAACACAGAUAACGGGAGAUUUUUUUUUUUUUGUUUUUUUUUUUUUGUGUUUUGUAGUUUCAUUAGUUAAAUGCUGACUCUUAUCAUACCUUCAAAGUUUACCUUAUAUAAACAGCAUUGUCAAGCUAGCGAUAACAAUUCCAACCACUAAAGUAAGUUGAAAUUCUAAAAAAAUGAUUUAGCUUUUUCGAAUUUCAUAACAUAUUUCAAGGUAAUGAUACAGCAAAAAGUAACUGAACAUUGGCAGAUAAUUAAGACAAUAUCACUUCUUAUUUGUUUAAAUAUUCAAAAGUAUCUUAACAUUUAUUAAAACUUUAUUCCAGUUUGAAAGAAAAAAACAGCAUUUGACGGGCCAUCAGUAUAUAUGUGAAGCAAGUGUGGUCUUUCAAAAGUAAAAUCAAUGUAUUUUGCGAUAUCAAAUUUAUUGUUUAUUUCAUUUUAUUUCGUUUACUUUAAAUUUGUUAUAAUUCUAUUUCAUUUUUAAUUUUGCAUCAUUUUAAUUUCAUUUUUAAAUUUAAUUUAUUCAGUUAUUGUUUAUACCUUUUUGUAAAUUUUUUCGGGACUAUGUUUUCACAAAUUAGUUGGCAUCAAAUACACAACAACGAAAAAGGGAAAAAAUGGAGACAAAGGAAAAAAAACAGACAAAAGACGGAUAUAUGAAGAUUUAAAAAAAGAUUUACGAAAUGACGAUUAAAAUUCGAAUCAUUCCAUUUUCAAAUACAAGUAUUGAAGACAUUGUUUUAAUUGGAGAACCACUGAUUCAAUGUAAAGAAAACUAGGAGAAAAAGAUGCCAAGUAGAAAAAUAAUACGGAUUUAAAAUCAGGGGUUGACAUUGUGAAAACUUACAAAAGUUCAGAUAGCACUAAACUGGAUAAAAGAAAUUUGUUUUAUAAACAGAGAUACCGCGGCUCGUCUAUUGUGUUGUGGCAGAAAUCAGGAAGAGAAUGACAAGGAGAAAAUUCGUCUCAUUGGUUGUGGCAGGAAAUAGGAACAGAAUGGCAAGGAGAAAAUUCAUCUGAUGGAUUGUGGCAGAAAUCAGAGCAGAAUGAUAAGGAGAAUAUGCAUCUAACGGGAUUGACAAGGAGAAUAUUCAUUUAAUGAGUUGUUGCAGAAAAUUGGAACAUAAUGGCAAAGAGAAAAAUUAUCUAAUGGUUUGCAGCAGAAAAUCAGAACAGAAUAGCAAGGAGAAAAAUCAUCAAAUGGAUUGUGGCAGAAAUCGAACAGAAUGGCAAGGAGGACAUUUGAGCAAAUUGUCAGGUUAUUUUAGUGGGAAAAUCGGACGUUUUAGCGAAAAGUGGAAUAAUCAAUGUCCAUUUUACCGACAAACUAAAGUCCAUAUUUUCCUUUUUUUAAUAUGAAAUAGUAAAAUGAAUUUUUUUUAAUAUCAAGUCAGCAUACGUCGUAUUCAUGAAAAAGCAGUACUGAAAGUAUAAAUACUAACCUGGAAGAAAAGACAACAGUACUAUGGAAGCGUAUCUUAAAUUAUUCACUUCUAAUUUGCAUUAAUGAAAGUUUUUGAUUCAUAUAAAUAUUUAUAAAUGAAAAGAGAUAUGGUGUGUGUGUCAACGAGAGAGUACCAAAUAACACAAACACAAACAACACUGAAGACAUCUAAAAAUCAACAUACGGUGUUCAAAGAUAUACUUGUGUCUAAAUCAAGCUCGUAAUAGAUAGUUUGUAUUAAUCGACAGUCACGGGAAUGUCAAAUAACAGGACCUCGAAUGACAAUUAAAAUUUCAAUUUGGUUUUUA